AGAGCGAACGCUGGCGGCAGGCCUAACACAUGCAAGUCGAGCGCCCGUAGCAAUACGGGAGCGGCAGACGGGAUAGUAACACGUGGGAACGCGCCCUUCGGUUCGGAAUAACUCAGGGAAACUUGAGCUAAUACCGGAUACGCCCUUACGGGGAAAGAUUUAUUGCCGAAGGAACGGCCCGCGUCCGAUUAGCUAGUUGGUGAGGUAAUGGCUCACCAAGGCGACGAUCGGUAGCUGGUCUGAGAGGAUGACCAGCAUCACUGGGACUGAGACACGGCCCAGACUCCUACGGGAGGCAGCAGUGGGGAAUAUUGGACAAUGGGCGCAAGCCUGAUCCAGCCAUGACCGCGUGGAUGAUGAAGGCCUUAGGGUUGUAAAGUCCUUUAACGGGAAGAUAAUGACGGUACCGUAGAAUAAGCCCGGCUAACUUCGUGCCAGCAGCCGC
Molecule: ribosomal RNA, 445 nt
Filed under: uncultured bacterium
Lineage: Bacteria
Description: SSU rRNA
Rfam family: Bacterial small subunit ribosomal RNA
Source: RNAcentral